CUCCAACCAAUCAGCACAUCCGUGACAACACCAAGGUACUCUCCAACCAAUCAGCACAUCUGUGACACCACCACAGGUACUCUCCAACCAAUCAGGACAUAUGUGACACCACCACAGGUACUCUCCAACCAAUCAGCAUAUCUGUGACACCACCACAGUACUCUCCAACCAAUCAGCACGUCUGUGACACCACCACAGUACUCUCCAACCAAUCAGCACGUCUGUGACACCACCACAGGUACUCGCCAAGCAAUCAGCACGUCUGUGACACCACCACAGGUACUCUCCAACCAAUCAGCACGUCUGUGACACCACCAC
This is a long non-coding RNA of Sapajus apella (tufted capuchin), 318 nucleotides long. RefSeq lists it as uncharacterized. The record is from RefSeq and is a predicted model, not a curated record. The transcript is spliced from 2 exons. NCBI's taxonomy places the organism in Eukaryota, Metazoa, Chordata, Mammalia, Primates, Cebidae.